Molecule: long non-coding RNA, 4804 nt
Filed under: Panax ginseng (ginseng)
Lineage: Eukaryota; Viridiplantae; Streptophyta; Magnoliopsida; Apiales; Araliaceae
Description: long non-coding RNA (PGIN_LNC004678)
Source: RNAcentral
UUUUUAUCAUAUUUGCAUUUGUUAAUGAGAUUCUAGUUGUCUUCUUUUUACUGGCACCAAGAAAGUUCUAAUUACACUCGAUCUUGUUAAGUGGUUAAAGGACAGGCAAGCCAUCCAUCCACAAUAGAAAUUUGUACUGUUUGUUUAAAUACUGAUCAAGUAAAUUCUAAGUUCUAAAUAACCAAAACGACAAUGGACUCUCAACACAACGAAAGCAGCAUAAUAUAUAUGUAACAACUAUAAAUAAAAUAAAGUGAAAUGUUAAAAUAAAUUCAAUUUUAAGGUGCCAGACUUUUUGAAGUAGUUAAAAUAAGCAUAAUAGCAGUUCACAAUAUUGAAGACUUUAAUACUACUUCGCCUAGGUGCCUUUUGAAAAGUCAUAUUGAUAGUUUACUUGUUGAGAAAUAUUGUUCUAAACAAAUAAAAUAUUGUUCUUAAAAAAUAAAAUCAGCAUCAUAGAUUAAAAACUUGAUAGUCCUACUACUUCAUCAAGUUCUUACACGAACACCAUCAAACUUUACAUUGUUGAUCCAUCACUAGUAGUCAACAAAACCCAAUAUCUUUGAAGAGAUUCUCUUUUAAAAUACCUAACCAAAAUUUUGCCUGACAUUAGAAAAAUGCAAGAAUUAGUCAGAAAAUUAUAAUUACAGUAAGCAUUAAACAAGAACAAUCAACUAUACAACAAAUUUACCAGGAGAAUACCAAGAAUUGGCUAGAGAUUGCUAUAAUCAAUCGCAAUAAUAUAAAAUAGCAAUUUCUAAUGACUAUUUAAACUGAAAGAAACUAUGGUAAAGAGAAUUAGAGAAAAACAUAGCAACACAGAAAGAGCAACAUAAUGCAGAAUUUAACGACAUCCAACUUUGAUGUCUCAGUUGCAAACUAAAAAUUUGACUGUCAAAAUUUUCGUACAACUUUUUAUUUUUGCCUAAUGAAUACAAAUAAUCUAGUAAGAGCUUCAGGGGAAAUAAUUUAGCAUGGAAUCAAUCAAUAACACUAUAAGAGUGGAAAACAUAUAACCUAUGAUACAAAUCACUAUGGCAGCGGCUAAAGCUUUCAUGGACUAGUGACUAAACUCUGAACUAAAGAUCAAAUUUGUUGGCAAAAGCAUCCACACAAGUGCCUCAUAGCUCCCAAGUAAAAUUUCAGCCAUUUUAAUUUUAGAGUGGACAAAUGUUCUACUUUUUAAUUACUACCAUAGUGAUAAAUAACGUUUUGGUCACUGUACUAGGGUCCGGUUUUCAUUGUGGUUACCGAAACUUUUUUUUGUUACAAUCGAAUAACUGUACUAUCAAAAAAUUACAAAAUGGUCAUUCCGUUCGAUUUCCGUCCAAAAAUUUGACGGAAAUGCUGACUGUGCAUAUUGACUCGUUAUUUUUGCUGACGUGACCCGUUAUUUGCUGACGUGGAGGGUAGAAGGUUUGCCUUAAAAAUUUUCUUAAAGAAAAUGUUGCUAACAAGUGUUGAACACUAGACCUCCCCAAACUAGAACCUUAUAUUCUAACAAAAACCACUUGACCAACUACCUAUUAUGCUAAAAUUUAUGUAACAUUAAUAUUUAAACCACCUAGCAUCAUUUAUAUGCAUGUGAAGAUGAGAUAAUAAUAAUUGUAAUAAUAAUAAUAAUUGUAAUAAUUAUCUAGUUCACAAAAUCAUCCUAUUGAUAUCUAUUGAAAAAAAUAUAACAAAUCAUUAAAAUUCAUAAUUACCCUUUUUGAGCUUCCAAAAUCCUCUAUUGAAAACCUCAAGUUUCCUUGAACUUCUUCCAAUCCCUUCUCUCAGUUUUUCAACUCUCCAAUUAAUAUAGAUGUAUAAAAGAGAAGGCAGCAGCUGGUGGAAUUUUGUGCUAGCACAUUUCACAAAUGUCACAUGCUACCUUAUAUACUUGGGGUUUUUUUUCAUGACUAACGUCACUAAACUAGUAAUUGUAGCCAAUUGAAAAAAAAACCAAAAAAAUUUAAUUACGUACAAGUCCUCGCACUUUCAAAUUACAUAUUUACCCUUGUACGUGUAACUCAUGCGAUUGAUAUUGUCGGAGUAAAAAUUAUAUUGGCAGAGAAAUAAUAAGUGUCGUUAAGAAAUUCAAAAAAUAUAGUUAAAUGUAUAUUUGCUCUAACAUCAUCAUUUUUGUUUUGACAAUAUCAAUCGCUCUUAUUAAUUAGUAAACCACGGAUUAAUUUCGUAGAUUACAAUUUCAAUAGCUAGCUUAGCUAUAUAUUGUUGCGAGUCACACAUAACAAUUGCAAAACUUCUGUGUAUUCGGUAUUCCACACCCCCAUUGUCCAAUAUUCCGAUCUAGCGUAGGACACAAGAGCUAUUAAACCUGUAACGUACGUAAUCAUAUGCAUGUUUUUCAACUUUGAGAUACAGCCAACGGUCUAAUUAAUAGUUAAUAAUAGCUAGAGAUAAGAAAUCAUUAAUUGUUGAAAUUAACAAUUAAUAAGUUUACACAUAUUUAUGUACCAAAAACCUUCCUUUUAUAUACUGACAUACAUAUAUAUAUAAAAUUAUUACAAUAAUUAUUAUUAUUUAAAAUUUUAAUCAUUAUUUAAAAUUUUAAUUAUUUAAAAUUUAGUAUUAUUAUUACAAUAAUAAUUAUUACAAUUAUUAUUAUUAUUACAGUUAUUAUUAUCUCAUCUUCACAUGCAUAUAAACGAUGCUAGGUGGUUUAAAUAUUAGUGUUACAUAAAUUUUAGCAUAAUAGGUAGUUGGUCCAGUGGUUUUUGUUAGAAUAUAAGGUUCUAGUUUGGAGAGGUCUAGAGUUCAAUACUUUUUAGCAUCAUUUUCUUUAAGAAAUUUUUUAAGGCAAGCCUUCUACCCUCCACGUCAGCAAAUAACGGGCCACGUCAGCAAAAAUAACGGGUCAAUAUGCACAGUCAGCAUUUCCGUCAAAUUUUUGGACGGAAAUCUAACGGAAUGACUAUUUUGUAAUUUUUUGAGAGUACAGUUAUUCGAUUGUAACAAAAAAAGUUUCGGUAACCACAAUGAAAACCGGACCAUAGUACAGUGACCAAAACGUUAUUUAUCCCUAGUACAAUAAGAAUGCAUUUAAUUUAAAAGCAUUUCACAAAAAAAUAAUUUUUUAAAACACUUUGAGUGAGAACUUGAUAACACUAACUUUUAUUAACAUAAAAAAACGCAUAACAAACUAACCCUUCUUUAAAGCUCAUCAUCCAUCCUCAAAUACUCCCCAAUAUCAGCGCGGUGAAUGUACAACAAUCUCAUUUGGGGUUCAUUAUCCUAUAGUCCCAUUUGGGUCCAUUUUCCUACAAUCCCAUUUGGGUCCAUUAGAAAAAUAUUUCUCAAUAAAAUUUGUGCCAAUGGGUUUAAAAAAACAUAUUUUGUGCCAAUGGGUAAAAAAAAACUGUGAAUUCCCAAAUUUAUACACACAAAAAAAAGGCAGAGACAAGAUCGAAAUUCACCUCCAAAAAAUGCAUAUUCAUUCAUUUGCUUCAUCAUCUUCAUCAACAAAUUAUACUAAUAAAGGAAUAAUAUUCACAUGCAUAUUCCUAACAAACUUGUUAUCAAGAAAACAAUCUGCAGAAACCAUGCAUCUUAAUCCUCUAUCUAUAACAAAUGAAAAGCUUUGAUUUUGUUAUUUUUAGAGUCUAAUAUAUAAAUCAAAGCAUUCACGUUCAAAAUUCCCAACUAAACAUGUACUUUUUCAUAUUUAACAACCCACUUUAAUUUACUAUACUUAUUAAAUUUAUUCAUAACAUUAUACAGUAAUUAUAGUUAAUAUAUUAAGUAAUAGGUAUUUUAUUAAUUUAUUCCUAUAUUACAUGAGCUAACUAUCAAAAUGACCAAAACAAAUCCAAAACAUUCAACAAACCACGCCUGGGUAGCCGCUGCAGUGCACUGUAGCAGGCAGCGCAUGGCUGCUACUGCAGCUGCCUGCAGCAGCUGUGCAGUUUUGCUGCAGCUUCAUGCUCAAAUCGCCUAUUUUACCAUUUUCUAGAUUACAAACCGUAAAUCUGAUCAAGGCAACUUUUAGGAUGUUGUAAAGAGUAUAUCAAACUAUUUUUAGAAAAUACUAACCAACUAAAUUAAACCUCCUAGACCAGUUUUUUUCAUGGCUUCAAACUGGCCUGCUGGGUACUUUUUUUUAUCCGAGUUACACAUACAAGUUUCUUGAAAACAGACUUUAAACUCAAAUUAUCUUUCUCAAGUUACUUAAAUUACUUCAUUAAACAAGUAUAAAGAGUUUCUAUAGAACCAACUUUGCUAAAUCCUUGCAAAUCUACCCGACAGUUUCUUAGGAGCCUUAAAUCAAACACCUCAUACGCAUUACAUUUAGGAACAUAGUUUAUAUCUAUUUAUAUACAAGUUUAGCCCAAAAUUUCCUCCCGUAUUGCUCUGCACAACAACUAUUCUCCUUUUCACUAAAUCUCAAUUACCACAGCAAUAACAUACUCAGUUUUUCAUAAAAAAGUAAAACUUUGCUUCAAAAAUUAAGAUUUAGAACUUACCUCGCUAUAGUGUUCAAUGGACUGAAUACAAUAUUUAUAGUUUAGUUAUUUCCCCCCUCUUUGCUGCCUCUGCUUUUCGAAGUCAAUUCCAGCCCAGCUCACACCUUAAUUUUCUUGCCCAAUUCCCUAAUGUAGCCGAACAAGCCAAGCCUUGAUGACCCUUUCUGGGGAGUUUUUGAAAAAGGAAUGCAAUGGAACGGUUGAAGUACUAAGGAUAGGAGGAACUUAAUAAUGACCAUGUUACAUUCUAAUUUUAUUUCAAAUGGUUGAUUAUAAUAGCCUGCUGAGUGCUGACUCCUUAAUCUUUUGACAGCUCAAGCUUAUCCACUAAUUCAGCC